Molecule: ribosomal RNA, 126 nt
Filed under: Lepisosteus oculatus (spotted gar)
Lineage: Eukaryota; Metazoa; Chordata; Actinopteri; Semionotiformes; Lepisosteidae
Source: RNAcentral
GCCAGCAGCUCUAUCACCCUGCAGCUCACAACUGCUAACCCCCUGAACCCUGAAGCUCAGCAGGUGUGAGCCUGGUCAGUACCUGGAUGGGAGACCUCCUGGGAAAAACUAAGGUUGCUGCUGGAA